Molecule: ribosomal RNA, 253 nt
Filed under: uncultured bacterium
Lineage: Bacteria
Description: partial 16S ribosomal RNA
Rfam family: Bacterial small subunit ribosomal RNA
Source: RNAcentral
UACGUAGGUGGCAAGCGUUGUCCGGAAUUAUUGGGCGUAAAGCGCGCGCAGGCGGUCCUUUAAGUCUGAUGUGAAAGCCCACGGCUCAACCGUGGAGGGUCAUUGGAAACUGGGGGACUUGAGUACAGAAGAGAAGAGUGGAAUUCCACGUGUAGCGGUGAAAUGCGUAGAGAUGUGGAGGAACACCAGUGGCGAAGGCGGCUAUCUGGACGGUUUCUGACGCUAAGACGCGAAAGCGUGGGGAGCAAACAGG